GCAUGGAUUACAUGGAAGCCGAAAGGGAGUCAUCGCUGGAGAAGGCAACUGCGGCAGGCUGAACACUGAACUGCAGCAACAAUACAGAAAAACUAAUUUUUGUCACUUCGCUCGAGCGGGGGCGUAAAAUGGGGCACUAAUUGAAACGACUUUGGGGUCACGGGUUCUUCAUUUGAAGGUGGCGAUCCUGCUUGUUUUCCCAUCCACGUAAUGGCUGCGAGGGGGCUGCCGGCAAGCGGAGGAAGAUCACAGGGACGACCGACUUGAACAUUUUACUCACUCUGCUUCACUCUUAACUGCAGGCUGCCAAGGCUGUGUCGAGCACAAAGACCUCGUGCCUUU
This is a long non-coding RNA of Phyllopteryx taeniolatus (common seadragon), 342 nucleotides long. RefSeq lists it as uncharacterized. The transcript has 3 exons. NCBI's taxonomy places the organism in Eukaryota, Metazoa, Chordata, Actinopteri, Syngnathiformes, Syngnathidae. The record is from RefSeq and is a predicted model, not a curated record.